RNAcentral lists this long non-coding RNA (2819 nucleotides) under Homo sapiens (human). The record is from RNAcentral. Lineage: Eukaryota; Metazoa; Chordata; Mammalia; Primates; Hominidae.
CUUCUCUCUAGUUGGGGUGCCUGUGAAACCGGCAGGCUCUCUCCAAAUGCCUGGAUUCUGCUGGGGGAGUAAGAAGUCAGGAGUAGUUUGUCUGAUGGUAUUGGGAUCUGCUUUGCAAUUGCCAAGCGCUAAGGCACAAGCUGGCAGAUGUGCUGCGGCUCUGCUACGGGCGGCUCUGUCGCCUUCAGUCGCAGGCUGGUUCUUUGGGGGAAAGUUGUAUCCAAUAUUGGUGACUCCCGGGAAUAGUCUGUUUGUGUGCUACUUAAUGGUCUCUAGGCUUCCUUGUCUUGUAGAACCUUGUUAGAAAGGAGCCUUGGUGAUUAAGAGGCUAUGGAGUACACAGCCUUGCUUAGCAGAUGAGCCCUUAUCCAUUUCCCGUUUCCUUAAAAACGGCUAAUUGAUGGAUGCUGCAGAAAACAUGCACUCUGCUAAUAAGAUGCUGAUGACAAAAUAGGUAUCAGGAAAGGCAUUUACUGCUUAUGAGCACCAUCAGCUUUCUUUCGAGUGAGAUUGUGGCUUUGUAGUAAAGUUUUUUUUUAAGUAAUAUGCUAAUAGUUUUAUUCUAAAUCGGCCAGCGCUGAAUAUCUUCAGGAAAAUGGGUUCCAUGAGAAGUGACAUCCUCCUCGAAUCAAAAGAUUCUCAGGAUGAUGGAGUGAGUGAUGGAAUAGGUUGCCAACUGUAGUUACUCCACUCAGCACAGAAUGGCUGCGGGGAAAUAUAAUCAGACAUGCCCAAAGAAGUCUGCUUAGGGUGAAACAAAUACCUUUGAGGUUUAAAUCAGAAAGGAAGGAGAGACUGUUUCUACAGGUGUCAUACAAAAAUCAAUACUGAGCCAAGGAUUAUUGGAUCCCAUAGAACCACGGAGACUUGGUAGUGAAAUUCUUCCAAAGGCAGAUGGUGUUCCUAGGUUUGGAAAUAUAAAUCCCAUGGGAAGUCAGCUGAAGACCAUUUUAUGCAUCACUCAUCCUGUUAGAGCCCUGUGCUGUUCUGUCUCUCUAUAAGACUGGCUGAAACCACCACGGUUGUUUACAAUUUAUGCUCUAACUUUGGAUCACCUAGUUAAUACUCUAACUCCGAUUAUUACCAAAGACAAUGUUCUAUAAAAGAUAUUGUCUAUUAGAAGGAUGCUUCUGCAUUAUUAAUAAAAUCACAGGGAAAAUGCAACAUUUUGGAUGUCACAUCUGAUAAGUUGGCAGUUAAAGAACAGAAACAGCAAUAAGACUGCGUGGCUACAUUUUCCCAGUGCCACCAACUGGGAUUUAAGCUGACUAACAUUUUGAAAGCCCAGCCCAUUUCAUUCACAGCAGGAUGGCAGUGGGUGACUGAUCGUACCCGCCAGCUGGCUAAUGUCAUAAUUAACAAAGUUGCUACUACAUCUGCAAAGUUUAAUCGAAAAAUUUGCCAGUGAUAUGAUGGCCUUGUCACAGAGAUCACAAGGGACACGGAGUUGACUUUUGCUCAAGGUGGAACGACAGAGCUGUGUAGGCAAGAUGAGAAAUUGCGAACUUGUUCGGCCAAAGGAGGCUAAUAAUGAAGGGGCCGGGAAGGAGGCCAGUGCUACCAGGGUUAUCUCACAACCUCAGAUGCUGGAUAAGUCGACGGAGGCAGAAUCGCUUUGGGAUGACAUUCAGAAAGCCUGGAGUGAUUACUUGCAAGAGAAAAGCCUACCUAUUCUUUCCAAGGUGCAGGAAUAUUCCCCUGACCUGCUCAUCCAGUGGUCCAGUAAUGAAUUACUGGAGACCUGCCUUAGACAAAGAAUGCACUCGGAGCCCCAACACACCUAAAGCCAUGCUUUGAAGGAUCUGCCAAGCUCACUUUUAAUCAUGAGAAAGAAAUUACCCACACGGAGUCAGCAGAAAAUGAGAAAGUAGAGCUCGUGCUGUGAAUAAUUCCAGCAAGUGCCAAGGGGCUAGUUGAGGAAUGGCUUCAUGAGAACAUGCUCUAGGGGAACUAUUAAUAGCCCACCAGUCGGGUAGGCAGCAUUCAAUCCUUCUAUGCCUUCUUUCGCCACCUGUUGAGGUCUUUCUUCUGAAACAAAGAAGAAAUAGACAAAUCAGACUUGCCCUCUUGGAAAUGUGGUCCAGAUUUCUCUACUCCCAAGCUCCAAAAAAGGUAUACAUUGGAUGGGCUAGAUCAACUCCUCCUGAGAGCCAUAAAUCCGCCAAGAGUUGUUUUCCAUGUAAGGGUGUGGUACAAUGGGGAACACCUGAUGUUGGAGGAAAGCAGGAGGACUUUAGAGUGGAGUUGCAUUCUAAUCUCUCUGCCGCUUCAACUAUGUGACCUGGGGCAAAUGAUAUAAACUCUAUGAGCCUCUUUCCUUAUCUUUAAAAUGAAGAGAAGUAAUACCUACCUUGUAGGGCUGUUGUGAGGAUUAAAUGAAGUAAUGCAUACAGUGCCUAACAAAGUAUUUAACAUCAUAUUUUUUAAAAGCUCAUGAAAUAUUAGUUUUUCUUCCUUCCCCUCUUUCUAUUUUCUCUCCUGUUCCCUUUUCUCUCCCUCCUCUGCCCUCUCCUUCCUUCAGAUGUUAGUCUAAAACAGCACCUUGGAUCUAAGCAGCACCUUUGAGAAAGAAAAGACUGCUUCAAGAAUGUCUAGUUGCACCUCCUUUCCGUAUGUGGCCUAAAUGCCUAGGUUGGAUCAAUAGUUUAAUUUUUUUAUUGAACUGUUUAAUAUUGACUAUGGACUUACAUUCACUUUUACUGUUUUCUGUAUAUUUACUUUUGCUUGAAGUGUUUUAAUAUUGACUAUUUACCUCUGCUCAUUUUUAUUGAUUUUCUGUAUUUUUUCAAUGAAAAUUAUAAUAAAAAUUAUUUUUGUUA